Molecule: ribosomal RNA, 481 nt
Filed under: uncultured Alphaproteobacteria bacterium
Lineage: Bacteria; Pseudomonadati; Pseudomonadota; Alphaproteobacteria
Description: bacterial SSU rRNA
Rfam family: Bacterial small subunit ribosomal RNA
Source: RNAcentral
GCCCUUAGAGUUUGAUCCUGGCUCAGAACGAACGCUGGCGGCACGCCUAACACAUGCAAGUCGAGCGCACCUUCGAGUGAGCGGCGGACGGGUUAGUAACGCGUGGGAACAUACCCUUCUCUAAGGAAUAGCCACUGGAAACGGUGAGUAAUACCUUAUACGCCCUUCGGGGGAAAGNUUUAUCGGNGNUGGAUUGGCCCGCGUUAGAUUAGAUAGUUGGUGGGGUAAUGGCCUACCAAGUCUACGAUCUAUAGCUGGUUUUAGAGGAUGAUCAGCAACACUGGGACUGAGACACGGCCCAGACUCCUACGGGAGGCAGCAGUGGGGAAUCUUAGACAAUGGGCGCAAGCCUGAUCUAGCGAUGCCGCGUGUGUGAUGAAGGUCUUAGGAUCGUAAAGCACUUUCACCAGGGAUGAUAAUGACAGUACCUGGAAAAGAAACCCCGGCUAACUCCGUGCCAGCAGCCGCGGUAAUAAGGGCG